GAAGGAAUGAUCACAGACCAGGAAGAAGAAAUGGGCCAUUUAAAAUUAGAGAACAAAAGAGCUGAACCUGUCAGCCUCCGUGUUUAAGAGCGUCCGUGACACAAACACUCGACUCAUCAAGAAGGGCAAAAGGAAGUCAGGGAAGGAGAUAAUGAUGAUGAAAACUGGACAAACUGGCAAUGGUUCAUCAAGGCAUCCAAGUGUGGAGGCUGUUAUCCUUGAGGACUCGGGCAUCUUGGAUGCUGCUGAAGCUGCUGCUGCACAGGAGGCCGCGGACGUAGACUCUGAAGGCGAACCGAGGACUUCCACUUCAGCUGGUCCAAGAAGGCAAAGUAUCAAAGAAGACGAGAUGGACCGAAUGUUACUGCUAAUGCAGGAACGAGCGGAGGAGAGUCGGGCCCGCAUGGAAGAA
Molecule: long non-coding RNA, 412 nt
Organism: Thalassophryne amazonica
Lineage: Eukaryota; Metazoa; Chordata; Actinopteri; Batrachoidiformes; Batrachoididae
Exons: 3
Source: RefSeq, a predicted model, not a curated record